Molecule: long non-coding RNA, 586 nt
Organism: Peromyscus eremicus (cactus mouse)
Lineage: Eukaryota; Metazoa; Chordata; Mammalia; Rodentia; Cricetidae
Exons: 2
Source: RefSeq, a predicted model, not a curated record
CACCAGAGAUCCACUCUUCCAUCUCUUGCACUCUGUUGGUUAUGCUUGCAUUUGUAGUUCCUGUUCAUUUAUUCAGAUUUACACUUCCAGCAUUUCCUCAGUUUGUGUCUUCUUUGUCUCCAUUUCAGUCGUGCAGCAGACCUGCAGGCAGAUCAGACUACCACCAUCCCCCAUGAGACCCUGUAACCAAGCCCCACCUCCCCCCAUCCCACCCAUUCUUCAAGACUGCAACUGUUCCCUGAGACAGAGAUGGCCAAGACCCGAUUGGACUAAGAGACACAGACACCGCUUGCACCAAGUGGAGAAAGAGAUGGAUAGAGGCCAGUGCAAAAGUACAGUCAACAACAAAAAACACACCAUGGUUCCAUCAGAACCUACACCAGCAAGACCUGAACAUCCCAAAACAGAGGAAACAGAAGAAAUCGACCUUAAAAAAUGAUCUUAAGAAGAUGUUAGAGAUCUUUAAAGAGGAAAUGAAAAAUUCCCUUAAAGAAUUAGAGGAAAAGUCAAACAAAAAUGGGAAGCAAUCAGUAAAUCCCUUGAAAGCCAAGAGAAAGCAAUUAAAUAUUUGAGGGAAACAGCUCAA